Molecule: ribosomal RNA, 372 nt
Filed under: uncultured organism
Description: bacterial SSU rRNA
Rfam family: Bacterial small subunit ribosomal RNA
Source: RNAcentral
CGGGGAGCAAGCGUUGUUCGGAUUUACUGGGCGUAAAGGGCGCGUAGGCGGCCACCGCAAGUCGACUGUGAAAUCUCCGGGCUUAACCCGGAAAGGUCAGCCGAUACUGCGGGGCUAGAGUGCAGAAGGGGCAACUGGAAUUCUCGGUGUAGCGGUGAAAUGCGUGGAUAUCGAGAGGAACACCUGCGGCGAAGGCGGGUUGCUGGGCUGACACCGACGCUGAGGCGCGAAAGCUAGGGGAGCGAACGGGAUUAGAUACCCCGGUAGUCCUAGCCUUAAACGAUGAAUGCUUGGUGUCUGGGGUUUUAUAGUCCCCGGGUGCCGUCGCUAACGCUUUAAGCAUUCCGCCUGGGGAGUACGGUCGCAAGACUG